Molecule: ribosomal RNA, 497 nt
Filed under: uncultured bacterium
Lineage: Bacteria
Description: partial 16S ribosomal RNA
Rfam family: Bacterial small subunit ribosomal RNA
Source: RNAcentral
GAUGAACGCUGGCGGCGUGCCUAAUACAUGCAAGUCGAGCGAACGGACGAGAAGCUUGCUUCUCUGAUGUUAGCGGCGGACGGGUGAGUAACACGUGGAUAACCUACCUAUAAGACUGGGAUAACUUCGGGAAACCGGAGCUAAUACCGGAUGAUAUUUUGAACCGCAUGGUUCAAAAGUGAAAGACGGUCUUGCUGUCACUUAUAGAUGGAUCCGCGCUGCAUUAGCUAGUUGGUAAGGUAACGGCUUACCAAGGCAACGAUGCAUAGCCGACCUGAGAGGGGGGUCGGCCACACUGGAACUGAGGCACGGUCCAGACUCCUCCGGGAGGCAGCAGUAGGGAAUCUUCCGCAAUGGGCGAAAGCCUGACGGAGCAACGCCGCGUGAGUGAUGAAGGUCUUCGGAUCGUAAAACUCUGUUAUUAGGGAAGAACAUAUGUGUAAGUAACUGUGCACAUCUUGACGGUACCUAAUCAGAAAGCCACGGCUAACUACGUG